Molecule: long non-coding RNA, 1788 nt
Organism: Gasterosteus aculeatus aculeatus (three-spined stickleback)
Lineage: Eukaryota; Metazoa; Chordata; Actinopteri; Perciformes; Gasterosteidae
Source: RefSeq, a predicted model, not a curated record
GUUGACGUGCAGCCUGUGUGUGUGUGUGUGUGUGUGUUUGGUUUAAUAGUCUCUACGGCUCCAGUAUAACUAGUAUUAGCUGAGGACUGCAGUCCUGCCAUCGACAAUAGGAAUCCAUAUUUUUAAUAUGCAAGUACAAAUAGCGUCUGCAUAUAAAAUCGUUAAAAGCCCCAAUAAACCUAUUAGACGUUGUUGAUCCGACAGAUGGAGGAUCAUAUUUCUACCAGCGCAGCAGAAUCAGGCGCGUCUGAUUAUUGGGAUUAUACCCUGAAACAUCCAUCACUAAUAAUUCAUGUAAACAUUGGGACUUGGAAUCUCUGGCAACAUGUAAAUAAAAAUACAAUUUAAAAAAAACACAGUAAAAGAACCCAAACCUCUACAAAUCACAUUAUAUAUACCAAGUUAUUAUUUUAAUACAACUUUACGACACCCUCCGCUGAGUUAUUUCUCCAUAAAACCCGACACGUAAGACAAAUAAGGAGUUCAAGUGUACAGAUCAGCUCUGCUCCAAAGUUUGCUCCAAAACGUGGACAUUUUCAGUGACCUCUUUAGCGGGACAAAGGAAGCCGCAGAUCGAUUCGUUACACCUAUUUUCCUUUUUUUCUGUGAGGCUGGUGGCCAAGGGGAGGGGCUCCGAAUCCACGAGGGGCUCCAUUAAAAGCCUACACUCCGUCCUAACUAUUAUCCACCAUAAAGUGUUGAUAAAGGGCACACAAGUAGCCUAUAAUGUGAUCUCAAGCGAGACGAAAUACGGGUUGGAGAGGACGGGGGACGAGCGGGAAGGGGCGCGAACGUCUCAAGUGUGAGUGAUAGCGUCCCGAAUAACGGGGAUGGCGCACGGGGAGCGGGUCGGUCCAGCCCGGAAGGCGCAUCCUCUCCAGCACGCGGACACCUACGGGACUUUAGGACACUAUUCACCCACCGGUCCGGCAUGCGGAUUUACGAGACACCGGAUAACCAAACCCUGCUGCCGACCGUCCUGGUCGGACGUGAGCAUCGACAAAGCUGUUCACGAGAUCUACGUGAUCGUCCCUUAAAGGAGUUCUGCUGCUUGUCAAACGAGAUUGUGGCCUGUGGCUAACCAUUUUGCAGCCAUAAACCUGCGAUGUCAGAAGGUCGGGGCUCCUCUGGUAUGCGAGUACAGCAAAUUGGCUGUCAGGGGUCUGACGUGGUGUUUAAUGUCUCUGUGAUAUGGUUUUUGAGGAAUCUCUUAUAUUUCGAUGUUGGUCGUAUAGCGAUCUGCUGCAGCGCCGGACCUCUGAACCCGUUCUUGGCGGACUUAACUAGAGUGAAAUCUUUUCCCUGGGUGUCACUCAAAUAAGUUAACAUUUGGAAUGACGACGGCUUACAGCUUAUGAUAAUGCCGCUCUUCAUAAUCUUGAGUAAUCUUCAAUCAAUGAUGGGUCCUAUCAGAUUCCAGACGCUCAUUGACAGGCUGAAUAUAAGAAUAUAUAAUAAAAAAUUAAUAAAGAAGAGGCUCUAACUUUGACAUGAGGUAUAUCUCCACAUCUAUCUGAUAAGACUGCAUAAUUAAAAUGCCAAGUGUGAGUGUGGAGAGAAAGAAAGAGAAGUUUUGAUAUUUUAUGGAGAUUUACUUUUCCACGACUUGUUUUAUGUAUAGACUUAAAAAAAAAGAUAUAUGUUGCCGUAGGUUUGACAAUGCAAUUAAAGGUUUGUAAUCCUUGCCUGAGCUUUUUUUUUUUUCAGGUUGUGUCAGUUUGGACGAGGAAUGUGAUGAGAUGCUGUGCAGCGGUGACACAUGCAGGUUUAUUAAAGGAUCCAAGUCUC